UACGUAGGGAGCAAGCGUUGUCCGGAAUCAUUGGGCGUAAAGCGCACGUAGGCGGCCUUGUAAGUCGGAUGUGAAAUCCCACGGCUCAACCGUGGACGUGCAUUCGAAACUGCUCGGCUCGAGUAUGGAAGAGGGUCGCGGAAUUCCCGGUGUAGAGGUGAAAUUCGUAGAUAUCGGGAGGAACACCAGUGGCGAAGGCGGCGACCUGGGCCAAUACUGACGCUGAGGUGCGAAAGCGUGGGGAGCAAACAGG
Molecule: ribosomal RNA, 253 nt
Filed under: uncultured bacterium
Lineage: Bacteria
Description: partial 16S ribosomal RNA
Rfam family: Bacterial small subunit ribosomal RNA
Source: RNAcentral